RNAcentral lists this ribosomal RNA (411 nucleotides) under uncultured bacterium. RNAcentral describes it as "bacterial SSU rRNA". It matches the Rfam family "Bacterial small subunit ribosomal RNA", at positions 370 to 772 of the family's 1533-position model. The record is from RNAcentral.
AAUGGGGGAAACCCUGAUGCAGCGACGCCGCGUGGGUGAUGAAGGCCUUCGGGUCGUAAAGCCCUGUCGGAGGGAAAGAAAGGGUGAGUAGUUAAUACCUGCUCACAUUGACGGUACCCUCAGAGGGAGCACCGGCUAACUCCGUGCCAGCAGCCGCGGUAAUACGGAGGGUGCGAGUGGUAUUCGGAAUCACUGGGCGUAAAGCGAACGNAGGCGGAUAGGCGAGUCAGAUGUGAAAGCCCGGGGCUCAACCUCGGAACUGCAUUUGAUACUGCUUGUCUUGAGUAUGGUAGAGGUAGAUAGAAUUCCCGGUGUAGAGGUGAAAUUCGUAGAUAUCGGGAGGAAUACCAGAGGCGAAGGCGACCUACUGGGCCAUUACUGACGCUGAGGUUCGAAAGCGUGGGUAGCAAA